Molecule: ribosomal RNA, 504 nt
Filed under: uncultured bacterium
Lineage: Bacteria
Description: partial 16S ribosomal RNA
Rfam family: Bacterial small subunit ribosomal RNA
Source: RNAcentral
AUUGAACGCUGGCGGCAGGCCUAACACAUGCAAGUCGAACGGUAGCACAGAGAGCUUGCUCUCAGGUGACGAGUGGCGGACGGGUGAGUAACGUCUGGGAAACUGCCCGAUGGAGGGGGAUAACUACUGGAAACGGUAGCUAAUACCGCAUAACGUCGCAAGACCAAAGUGGGGGACCUUCGGGCCUCACACCAUCGGAUGUGCCCAGAUGGGAUUAGCUAGUAGGUGGGGUAAUGGCUCACCUAGGCGACGCUCCCUAGCUGGUCUGGGAGGAUGACACGCCACACUGGAACUGAGACACGGUCCAGGCUCCUACGGGAGGCAGCAGGGGGGGAUAUUGCACAAUGGGCGCAAGCCUGAUGCAGCCAUGCCGCGUGUAUGAAGAAGGCCUUCGGGUUGUAAAGUACUUUCAGCGGGGAGGAAGGCGGUGAAGUUAAUAACUUCACCGGUUGACGUUACCCGCAGAAGAAGCACCGGCUAACUCUGUGCCAGCCGCCGCAGUAA